CGGGGCAUAGCUCAGUGGUAGAGCACUUGCCUGACAUGCACGAGGCCCUGAGUUCCAUCCCCAGCACCCCCC
This 72-nucleotide transfer RNA is filed under the name Heterocephalus glaber (naked mole-rat). It matches the Rfam family "tRNA". Rfam says of the family: Transfer RNA (tRNA) molecules are approximately 80 nucleotides in length. Their secondary structure includes four short double-helical elements and three loops (D, anti-codon, and T loops). The record is from Rfam by way of RNAcentral. Lineage: Eukaryota; Metazoa; Chordata; Mammalia; Rodentia; Bathyergidae.